UACGUAGGGCGCAAGCGUUGUCCGGAAUUAUUGGGCGUAAAGAGCUCGUAGGCGGUUUGUCGCGUCUGUCGUGAAAGCUUGGGGCUUAACCCCAAGUCUGCGGUGGAUACGGGCAGACUAGAGGCAGGUAGGGGAGAACGGAAUUCCCGGUGUAGCGGUGAAAUGCGCAGAUAUCGGGAGGAACACCAGUGGCGAAGGCGGUUCUCUGGGCCUGUACUGACGCUGAGGAGCGAAAGCGUGGGGAGCGAACAGG
RNAcentral lists this ribosomal RNA (253 nucleotides) under uncultured bacterium. Its description in RNAcentral is "partial 16S ribosomal RNA". It matches the Rfam family "Bacterial small subunit ribosomal RNA", at positions 524 to 776 of the family's 1533-position model. The record is from RNAcentral.